Podarcis lilfordi (Lilford's wall lizard) is the source of this 76-nucleotide non-coding RNA. The record is from the annotation of a GenBank genome assembly. NCBI's taxonomy places the organism in Eukaryota, Metazoa, Chordata, Lepidosauria, Squamata, Lacertidae.
GCCAUAGCUCAAUGGUAGAGCAAUCUGCUUUUUAUGCAGAAGGUCCCAGUUUAUCAAUUCUUCAUGGGAGAGAACU